This 774-nucleotide ribosomal RNA is filed under the name uncultured Neocallimastigales. RNAcentral describes it as "partial large subunit ribosomal RNA". It matches the Rfam family "Eukaryotic large subunit ribosomal RNA", at positions 23 to 648 of the family's 3401-position model. The record is from RNAcentral. Lineage: Eukaryota; Fungi; Neocallimastigomycota; Neocallimastigomycetes; Neocallimastigales.
GAGACUCUGUGCGCGUGCAUAUCAAUAAGCGGAGGAAAAGAAACUAACAAGGAUUCCCUUAGUAACGGCGAGUGAAGCGGGAAGAGCUCGAAUUUGAAAUCUUCAAGGUUCUACCUUGACGAAUUGUAGUUUAUAGAAGUGUUUUCUGUUAGUGGAGUGGCAAAAGUUCUUUGGAAUAGGACAUCAUAGAGGGUGAGAAUCCCGUAUUUGGUCAUUCCUCCUAGCGUUGUGAUACACUUUCAACGAGUCGGAUUGUUUGGGAAUGCAGUCCAAAAUGGGUGGUAAAUUUCAUCUAAAGCUAAAUAUUGGCGAGAGACCGAUAGCGAACAAGUACCGUGAGGGAAAGAUGAAAAGAACUUUGAAAAGAGAGUUAAACAGUACGUGAAAUUGUCAAAAGGGAAGCGUUUGACACCAGUGUUGUUUUUCCGAAAAUCAAUUACGAAUGUUUUAUUUUUGAGGAGUUAUGACUUCAUCGGCUUGCUCCUUUCUUUAUGAAACUUUCUUAAUGCACUUUUCGGUUAACAAGUCAACAUCAAUUUCUUUUGUUGUAAAAGGGUAUGAGGAAGGUGGCUUUCUUUUCGGAGAAAGUGUUUAUAGCCUUGUACCUCUGCAAUCGGAGAGAUUGAGGUCUGCAGCGUAGAUCCUUCGGGGUUAGAUACAUUUGUGCUAAGUUAUAGCUUUUCAUAGACAACUUGUUGACUAUGUUUAGUCUUGUAGCUUACUCGCUUAUGCUAUUUUACCUACGCUUAGGAUGUUGACGAUCAGCUGAGCGCG